This 63-nucleotide transfer RNA is filed under the name Aleurocanthus spiniferus (citrus spiny whitefly). Its description in RNAcentral is "tRNA-Phe". The record is from RNAcentral. Lineage: Eukaryota; Metazoa; Arthropoda; Insecta; Hemiptera; Aleyrodidae.
GUCAAGAUAGCUUAAAAUAAAGUAAAAUAUUGAAAAUAUUUAGAUACAAAUCAGUUCUAGACA